Molecule: non-coding RNA, 86 nt
Filed under: human gut metagenome
Description: SAM riboswitch (S box leader)
Rfam family: SAM riboswitch aptamer (S box leader)
About the family: The SAM riboswitch is found upstream of a number of genes which code for proteins involved in methionine or cysteine biosynthesis in Gram-positive bacteria. The SAM riboswitch acts at the level of transcription termination control. The predicted structure consists of a complex stem-loop region followed by a single stem loop terminator region.
Source: RNAcentral
UUUAUCAAGAGCGGCGGAGGGACUGGCCCUAUGAAGCCCGGCAACCUGAUACGGUGCUAAAUCCUGCGGAUGAUCCGAGAGAUAAA